Molecule: ribosomal RNA, 558 nt
Filed under: uncultured Prevotella sp.
Lineage: Bacteria; Pseudomonadati; Bacteroidota; Bacteroidia; Bacteroidales; Prevotellaceae
Description: bacterial SSU rRNA
Rfam family: Bacterial small subunit ribosomal RNA
Source: RNAcentral
ACACAUGCAAGUCGAGGGGAAACGACAUCGAAAGCUUGCUUUUGAUGGGCGUCGACCGGCGCACGGGUGAGUAACGCGUAUCCAACCUGCCCAUCACUUGGGGAUAACCUUGCGAAAGUAAGACUAAUACCCAAUGAUAUCUCUAGAAGACAUCUGAAGGAGAUUAAAGAUUUAUCGGUGAUGGAUGGGGAUGCGUCUGAUUAGCUUGUUGGCGGGGUAACGGCCCACCAAGGCUACGAUCAGUAGGGGUUCUGAGAGGAAGGUCCCCCACAUUGGAACUGAGACACGGUCCAAACUCCUACGGGAGGCAGCAGUGAGGAAUAUUGGUCAAUGGGCGAGAGCCUGAACCAGCCAAGUAGCGUGCAGGAUGACGGCCCUAUGGGUUGUAAACUGCUUUUAUAAGGGAAUAAAGUGAGUCUCGUGAGACUUUUUGCAUGUACCUUAUGAAUAAGGACCGGCUAAUUCCGUGCCAGCAGCCGCGGUAAUACGGAAGGUCCGGGCGUUAUCCGGAUUUAUUGGGUUUAAAGGGAGCGUAGGCCGGAGAUUAAGCGUGUUGUG